AUGAGGUGUGGGUAGCGGAGAAAUUCCAAUCGAACUCGGAGAUAGCUGGUUCUCUCCGAAAUAGCUUUAGGGCUAGCCUCAAUAUACAUUACCGCAGGUAAAGCACUGAAUGAGCUAGGGGGCGAAAGCUUACUGAACUCUAUCAAACUCAGAAUGGCGGAUAAUGAAUGAUUGGGAGUCACACUACGUGAGAUAAGUUUCGUGGUGGAAAGGGAAACAGCCCAGACCCACAGCUAAGGUCCCAAAGUACGGUUAAGUGGAAAAGGAUGUGGAAUUGCACAGACAACCAGGAUGUUGGCUCAGAAGCAGCCAUUCAUUCAAAGAGUGCGUAAUAGCUCACUGGUCGAGUGACUCUGCGCCGAAGAUUUAACGGGGCUAAAUCGUACACCGAAGCUUGGGAAUAUGCAUUUAUGUAUGUUGGUAGGAGAGCGUCGUAUGCGGGGUGAAGUCAUAGCGUAAGCGGUGGUGGACUGCAUAGGAGUGAGAAUGCCGGAAUGAGUAGCGAGAAUUAUGUGAGAAUCAUAAUGGCCGAAAGACUAAGGUUUUAGAAGGAAGGUUCGUCCGCUUCUAGUUAGCCGGGAGCUAAGGCGAGGCCGAGAGGCGUAGUCGAUGCACAUACGGUUGAGAUUCCGUAGCCACCUACGAUUUAAACUAAAGGACACAUCAAAAGGGCAUGACCCGGGCGUUGGUUGACCCGGGCGUAAGGGACCGAAAAUAAGUAGGGAAGCAUGCUUGGCUGGUGGCGAGAAAAGUUUAGUGUAUAUAAUGUAGGUGCCCGUACUGUAAACCGACACAGGUAGUCAGGAAGAGAAUUCUAAGGCCAUCGGGAGAAGCGUUGUUAAGGAACUCGGCAAAUUGACCCCGUAACUUCGGAAUAAGGGGUGCUCACGCGAGUGAGCCGCAGUGAAUAGGUCCAGGCAACUGUUUAUCAAAAACACAGCUCUCUGCUAAAUCGUAAGAUGACGUAUAGGGGGUGACACCUGCCCGGUGCUGGAAGGUUAAGAGGAGGGGUGCAAGCUCCGAAUUGAAGCCCCAGUAAACGGCGGCCGUAACUAUAACGGUCCUAAGGUAGCGAAAUUCCUUGUCGGGUAAGUUCCGACCCGCACGAAUGGUGUAAUGAUCUGGACACUGUCUCAACAACGCACCCGGCGAAAUUGUAGUACCGGUGAAGAUGCCGGUUACCCGCGGCAAGACGGAAAGACCCCAUGGAGCUUCACUGUAGCCUGAUAUUGGGUCUCGGUAUUUUAUGUACAGGAUAGGCGGGAGACUUGGAAACCAGCACGCCAGUGUUGGCGGAGUCACCCUUGGGAUACCGCUCUUAAAGUAUUGAGAUUCUAACCUGCAGCCAUGAAUCUGGCUGGGGGACAUUGUCAGGUGGGCAGUUUGACUGGGGCGGUCGCCUCCAAAAGAGUAACGGAGGCG
Molecule: ribosomal RNA, 1422 nt
Filed under: human gut metagenome
Description: bacterial LSU rRNA
Rfam family: Bacterial large subunit ribosomal RNA
Source: RNAcentral